RNAcentral lists this transfer RNA (70 nucleotides) under Staphylinidae sp. BMNH 1274251. Its description in RNAcentral is "tRNA-Asp". The record is from RNAcentral. Lineage: Eukaryota; Metazoa; Arthropoda; Insecta; Coleoptera; Staphylinidae.
AAGAAUUUAGUUAAAGUGAUAACAUUAGUUUGUCAUACUAAAAUUAUUAAAAUUAUUAUAAUAAUUCUUG